RNAcentral lists this transfer RNA (23 nucleotides) under Tibisia angustifolia. RNAcentral's name for it is "partial tRNA-Cys". Lineage: Eukaryota; Viridiplantae; Streptophyta; Magnoliopsida; Poales; Poaceae. The record is from RNAcentral.
GGCGGCAUGGCCAAGCGGUAAGG